Molecule: long non-coding RNA, 308 nt
Filed under: Phoenix dactylifera (date palm)
Lineage: Eukaryota; Viridiplantae; Streptophyta; Magnoliopsida; Arecales; Arecaceae
Description: long non-coding RNA (PDAC_LNC020898)
Source: RNAcentral
UCUACUAAGGUCCAGACUUGGUUGGAAUACAUGGAGUCUAUCUCUGACUUCAUGGCUUCCAGCCAUUUCUCGGAAUCGAUAUCUGAUAUCGCCUCAUUGUAGGUAUUGGGAUCCUGUACAUAUUCCCUAUCUCCCAUGAGAAACAUUUCCUCGGUGUCCUCUACUAGUAUACCUAAGUAUCUAUCGGGAGGAUGGAAGACCCUACUAGAUCUACGAGGUGGAGGAGGUACUAUGUGUACUGGCUCUAUGUGAAUAGGUUCUAUAGGAUCCAUUACUCGUUGCUUUUCAGAGACUCUCUCUUUAAGCUC